AUGACGUGGAUGACGCCUUCGCAACGCCGAUCACCACGCCCUCUUCUCCACAUAACGGCCUCCUCCUUGCACGGCCGGCCUCCAUCUCACAUGGAGUCCGCCGCGCCAUCGUCGUCGCCGAAUCGACGAGGCUCUGAUGCCAAUUGUUGGCGCCGCCUCACCUCGCAGCGCCACUUCUUCUUCUACCUUGAGCUGCCUCACUCAACUCUCCAUCUCUCUCAAGCUACUCUUCUCCUCGGUGGCUUCCCACAAGAACACUCACACACACACAACGCACGCAUAUACCAAGGAAGAGGAACCGCUUUGCCAGAGACACUCCCUUGGUGA
RNAcentral lists this ribosomal RNA (327 nucleotides) under Triticum aestivum (bread wheat). Its description in RNAcentral is "partial small subunit ribosomal RNA". Lineage: Eukaryota; Viridiplantae; Streptophyta; Magnoliopsida; Poales; Poaceae. The record is from RNAcentral.